This 320-nucleotide ribosomal RNA is filed under the name uncultured Alphaproteobacteria bacterium. RNAcentral describes it as "bacterial SSU rRNA". It matches the Rfam family "Bacterial small subunit ribosomal RNA", at positions 80 to 419 of the family's 1533-position model. The record is from RNAcentral. Lineage: Bacteria; Pseudomonadati; Pseudomonadota; Alphaproteobacteria.
CAACCUUCGGGCUUAGCGGCGGCGGGUGAGUAACGCGUGGGAAACGCACCCAUUCCUGCGGAAUAGGCCCUGGAAACGGGGUUUAAUACCGCAUACGCCCUUCGGGGGAAAGAAUUUCGGGGAUGGAUCGGCCCGCGUUGGAUUAGGUAGUUGGGGGGAAAAAGCCUACCAAGCCGACGAUCCAUAGCUGGUUUUAGAGGAUGAUCAGCCACACUGGGACUGAGACACGGCCCAGACUCCUACGGGAGGCAGCAGUGGGGAAUCUUAGACAAUGGGGGCAACCCUGAUCUAGCCAUGCCGCGUGAGUGAUGAAGGUCUUA